GAUGAAGAACGUAGUGAAAUGCGAUAAGUAAUGUGAAUUGCAGAAUUCAGUGAAUCAUCGAAUCUUUGAACGCACCUUGCGCCCUUUGGCCAUUCCGAAGGGCAUGCCUGUUUGAGUAUCAUGAACACCUCAACUCUUUAUGGUUUUCCAUGAUGAGCUUGGACUUUGGGGGUUUUGCUGGCCUAUGGUCGGCUCCUCUAAAAUAAAUCAGCUUACCAGUGUUUGGUGGGUAUCAUGGGUGUGAUAACUAUCUACGCUUGUGGUUUUUCCGCCAGGUAACCUUUGACAGCGGAGGUUCACUGGAGCUCAUAGAUGUCUCUCCUCAGCGAGGACAGCCCUUUGAAUGUUUGAUCUCAAAUCAGGUAGGACUACCCGCUGAACUUAAGCAUAUCAAUAAGCGGAGGA
This 405-nucleotide unclassified non-coding RNA is filed under the name soil metagenome. RNAcentral's name for it is "partial contains 5.8S ribosomal RNA, internal transcribed spacer 2, and large subunit ribosomal RNA". The stretch from base 1 to 121 matches the Rfam family "5.8S ribosomal RNA", at positions 35 to 154 of the family's 154-position model. The record is from RNAcentral.